RNAcentral lists this ribosomal RNA (430 nucleotides) under uncultured bacterium. RNAcentral describes it as "bacterial SSU rRNA". It matches the Rfam family "Bacterial small subunit ribosomal RNA", at positions 355 to 775 of the family's 1533-position model. The record is from RNAcentral.
UGAGGAAUUUUGCGCAAUGGACGAAAGUCUGACGCAGCGACGCCGCGUGGGCGAUGAAGCUCUUUGGAGUGUAAAGCCCUGUCAGGUGGGACGAAUCCGUGGUGGGUGAACAACUCAUUGCGCUGACGGUACCACCAGAGGAAGCCCCGGCUAACUCUGUGCCAGCAGCCGCGGUAAUACAGAGGGGGCUAGCGUUGUUCGGAAUUACUGGGUGUAAAGGGUGCGCAGGUGGUUAGUUAAGUCUGAUGUGAAAUCCCUGGGCUCAACUCAGGAACUGCAUUGGAAACUGGCUAGCUUUGAGUACCGGAGAGGGAAGCGGAAUUCCUGGUGUAGCGGUGAAAUGCGUAGAUACCAGGAGGAACACCGGUGGCGAAGGCGGCUUCCUGGCCGAGUACUGACGCUCAUGCACGAAAGCGUGGGGAGCAAACGG